UGUUAUAUAUCCAACAGGGCGUCAGUUUGGCGCAUUGUACCAAACUCGCUGUAUUAUGUGCUUGCAUAUUCGAAUACCGUGGUCGUAAUUCUUAAUUGUAGCACGCCACGUUAAA
This is a long non-coding RNA of Drosophila innubila, 115 nucleotides long. RefSeq lists it as uncharacterized. The record is from RefSeq and is a predicted model, not a curated record. Lineage: Eukaryota; Metazoa; Arthropoda; Insecta; Diptera; Drosophilidae. The transcript has 3 exons.